CUUAGUCUCAAUACUGCUAAUCUAGAUAGAAAUACCAACAUUAUUCUUUCAUCAAAUAUUCUAUGAGAAAAACUGGUUGAUGUAUGACAUCUUUCAAGGUCAGCUCAUAGGCAACGAGAUCAUUUCCAUUAAAAGAGACAGCUGGAGGAUGGCUGGAAUCUAACAGUCAAAACACCGCCAAUCUGCUAAGAAAUUGUCGUCUCGUAACAUAAUGCAACAUGCAGCAGAAGCUUCGCAUUCCAAAAAAAAAAAAGUCAUAUAUUAAAAGGAAAUCAGAGUUGAUGAUGGAAGAAAAGAAAAAAAACCUACCACAUCCACCAAGUUCUAGGCCUAGUAGAAAUGCUUUCUCCAAUCUCUCGAUAUUUCACAACAACAGAUUGAAGAUAAUCAAAAUUAAUAACAUGGGUUUUCAUUCACCUGAAUUCCAGCCAGACACUUACUUGGUGCUGUUACAAAAUGCAAACAUGUGGCAACAGCACUUAAUUCUCCUGUUAGAGUUAAGAGUAUGCAGAAAGAAUAUAGCAUUACAAAUAAUUUAAACAUAAAUGGGUUAGCAAGCAAAUGAGCUCCCCAAUUGGCCCUGAAAACUUUUCCAGGAUAUGGUGCCCGGACAUUCAGAUAUACAUUUGCCAGGACAUUAGAUGUAUGGUUGCCAGGACAUUCAGAUAUACGUUUGCCAAGACCAUCUAAUAAUAAACACUACCAUAUUUAAGUUCCAGGCCUAGAUUCAGAGAUGUGGUCCUACUCUAGCAUGGUGUAAGCAUAUGGGGCACUAUCCUGACUCCAGUAAACAAAUUAAGACUAAUUCAACAGUUGAUGAUACAGAAGGUUAUCCCAAGUCAAGACAUGGUCAUCUCCAAAUUGAGCCCAUUAACAAUCUAGAUGCACAUUCAUGGAUGGAAACUAGCAAACUUGAGCAUUUGAUUCAACUGUUUCUGCCUGUUCAACACUAACCAAACAAGUGAACCAAUGCUUUAAUAGA
RNAcentral lists this long non-coding RNA (982 nucleotides) under Elaeis guineensis (African oil palm). Its description in RNAcentral is "long non-coding RNA (EGUI_LNC063165)". The record is from RNAcentral. Lineage: Eukaryota; Viridiplantae; Streptophyta; Magnoliopsida; Arecales; Arecaceae.